Molecule: ribosomal RNA, 1355 nt
Filed under: Chryseobacterium indologenes
Lineage: Bacteria; Pseudomonadati; Bacteroidota; Flavobacteriia; Flavobacteriales; Weeksellaceae
Description: bacterial SSU rRNA
Rfam family: Bacterial small subunit ribosomal RNA
Source: RNAcentral
CGAGCGGUAGAGAUCCUUCGGGAUCUUGAGAGCGGCGUACGGGUGCGGAACACGUGGGCAACCUGCCUUUAUCUGGGGGAUAGCCUUUCGAAAGUAAGAUUAAUACCCCAUAAUAUACUGAAUGGCAUCAUUCGGUAUUGAAAACUCCGGUGGAUAGAGAUGGGCACGCGCAAGAUUAGAUAGUUGGUGAGGUAACGGCUCACCAAGUCUACGAUCUUUAGGGGGCCUGAGAGGGUGAUCCCCCACACUGGUACUGAGACACGGACCAGACUCCUACGGGAGGCAGCAGUGAGGAAUAUUGGACAAUGGGUGAGAGCCUGAUCCAGCCAUCCCGCGUGAAGGACGACGGCCCUAUGGGUUGUAAACUUCUUUUGUAUAGGGAUAAACCUACCCUCGUGAGGGUAGCUGAAGGUACUAUACGAAUAAGCACCGGCUAACUCCGUGCCAGCAGCCGCGGUAAUACGGAGGGUGCAAGCGUUAUCCGGAUUUAUUGGGUUUAAAGGGUCCGUAGGCGGAUCUGUAAGUCAGUGGUGAAAUCUCACAGCUUAACUGUGAAACUGCCAUUGAUACUGCAGGUCUUGAGUGUUGUUGAAGUAGCUGGAAUAAGUAGUGUAGCGGUGAAAUGCAUAGAUAUUACUUAGAACACCAAUUGCGAAGGCAGGUUACUAAGCAACAACUGACGCUGAUGGACGAAAGCGUGGGGAGCGAACAGGAUUAGAUACCCUGGUAGUCCACGCCGUAAACGAUGCUAACUCGUUUUUGGAAUGUAAGUUUCAGAGACUAAGCGAAAGUGAUAAGUUAGCCACCUGGGGAGUACGAACGCAAGUUUGAAACUCAAAGGAAUUGACGGGGGCCCGCACAAGCGGUGGAUUAUGUGGUUUAAUUCGAUGAUACGCGAGGAACCUUACCAAGGCUUAAAUGGGAAAUGACAGGUUUAGAAAUAGACUUUUCUUCGGACAUUUUUCAAGGUGCUGCAUGGUUGUCGUCAGCUCGUGCCGUGAGGUGUUAGGUUAAGUCCUGCAACGAGCGCAACCCCUGUCACUAGUUGCCAUCAUUAAGUUGGGGACUCUAGUGAGACUGCCUACGCAAGUAGAGAGGAAGGUGGGGAUGACGUCAAAUCAUCACGGCCCUUACGCCUUGGGCCACACACGUAAUACAAUGGCCGGUACAGAGGGCAGCUACACUGCGAAGUGAUGCAAAUCUCGAAAGCCGGUCUCAGUUCGGAUUGGAGUCUGCAACUCGACUCUAUGAAGCUGGAAUCGCUAGUAAUCGCGCAUCAGCCAUGGCGCGGUGAAUACGUUCCCGGGCCUUGUACACACCGCCCGUCAAGCCAUGGAAGUCUGGGGUACCUGAAG